UCUACGGGAGGCAGCAGUGAGGAAUAUUGGUCAAUGGACGAGAGUCUGAACCAGCCAAGUAGCGUGAAGGAUGACUGCCCUAUGGGUUGUAAACUUCUUUUAUAUGGGAAUAAAAUGUUCCACGUGUGGGAUUUUGUAUGUACCCUAUGAAUAAGGAUCGACUAACUCCGUGCCAGCAGCCGCGGUAAUACGGAGGAUCCGAGCGUUAUCCGGAUUUAUUGGGUUUAAAGGGAGCGUAGGUGGAUUGUUAAGUCAGUUGUGAAAGUUUGCGGCUCAACCGUAAAAUUGCAGUUGAUACUGGCAGGCUUGAGUACAGUUGAGGGAGGCGGAAUUCGUGGUGUAGCGGUGAAAUGCUUAGAUAUCACGAAGAACUCCGAUUGCGAAGGCAGCCUACUAGACUGCCACUGACAUUGAUGCUCGAAAGUGUGGGUAUCAAACAGGAUUAGAUACCCUAGUAGUC
RNAcentral lists this ribosomal RNA (460 nucleotides) under uncultured bacterium. RNAcentral's name for it is "partial 16S ribosomal RNA". It matches the Rfam family "Bacterial small subunit ribosomal RNA", at positions 338 to 795 of the family's 1533-position model. The record is from RNAcentral.